This is a long non-coding RNA of Ruditapes philippinarum (Manila clam), 290 nucleotides long. RefSeq lists it as uncharacterized. The record is from RefSeq and is a predicted model, not a curated record. The transcript is spliced from 3 exons. NCBI's taxonomy places the organism in Eukaryota, Metazoa, Mollusca, Bivalvia, Venerida, Veneridae.
CAAACGCUUUCAGAGGUGAAGGUUGAAAGUUAAAGGUGAAGGCCGCGAGUAACAACAACAACAAAAUAGUGUAAUCAAGGAAAUAAAAGGGAAUAUUUGACUAAGUACCUGAAACCUCUUAUCAGAAUGGCAUCCAGGCUGCUGACUAAGAGAGUGGUGUACCUACCAAAUAUACGGGCAGCUGUGAACCAUUUUAGAGCUUUUUCCUGGCACAAUAAUGGAGAAAAUGCAGAUAAUUAUAAAGUUGUUGGAGAGACAGAUUCAGGUAAAGUUAAGUUGAUGUUUUCCUU